This 77-nucleotide transfer RNA is filed under the name Pseudoflavonifractor capillosus. RNAcentral describes it as "tRNA-Pro". It matches the Rfam family "tRNA". From Rfam's summary of the family: Transfer RNA (tRNA) molecules are approximately 80 nucleotides in length. Their secondary structure includes four short double-helical elements and three loops (D, anti-codon, and T loops). The record is from RNAcentral. RNAcentral also lists the same sequence under 22 other names. Lineage: Bacteria; Bacillati; Bacillota; Clostridia; Eubacteriales; Oscillospiraceae.
CCGGGUGUGGCGAAGUUUGGUAUCGCGCUUGAAUGGGGUUCAAGAGGCCCUGAGUUCGAAUCUCAGCACUCGGACCA